AUGUUUCCUCAAGGACUUAAGAAUAAAACUCACAAAAUCUUAUAUUCCUCUCCAACUUCCGUGAGCUUCUAUCUCCUUCCCUUGAACCAGUGCCCGCCACACUUGCUCCCGGUGCUAGCCAUGAGUGCCAUCCACCACCCAGCCACUGGCGAUUGUCAACCUCAAGUCAGCUGGUUACCAUACUCCCUCCGGCGUCCGCCACUCUCUUCACGGUCAACUUUCUUUUGUCCGCGACUGAUUCCAACGAAACAACUCCCUCCAUUUCCGAUUUGCUUCGCCGUCUCCAAUUCAUGUUCUUUGGCAUCUAUUCGGCCUUUGUCGUGCGACAUACAACAUUAG
Molecule: non-coding RNA, 339 nt
Organism: Vicia faba (fava bean)
Lineage: Eukaryota; Viridiplantae; Streptophyta; Magnoliopsida; Fabales; Fabaceae
Source: the annotation of a GenBank genome assembly